CUGUUUUAUGACAGAUAAACAGCAGUCCUCAGUCAGCGUCAGACACACAGAAUAUUUUCCAAUUUAAUUUAAUCACGUAAAGCCUCUCUAGUCGAGCCAUCGCUGUUUCUGCAAGACUUGUUGUCGUCAUGUUCUUUCCCGUAUUUGAGCAGAAGUGACACUCCAGAGAAUACCGCCUUACACGCUUCGCUGGAGAGAGAGGGAGCAGGCACCGAGGAGAGAAAGGUGAGAUGCUACCCAACGAAUGAACAUCCCACCUGAAAGAUGCUUUGUAUUGGCGCUGGCGGACUUUGACCACUACAACACGAGGACCAUCUUUCUGAGUUGAGGAGAACGGGUUGUGGCCUACAGAAGCUUCACUUUCCUGAGGGUAAUGGACAAUUUCUCAUUAUUCCAUCAACUCAUGGAGAGUCAUCAAGAAAGAACAAAAGGGCCUGUACUUUCUAAGAACACUUGAGAAAGCUCAGAAAUGUCUUUUUGCAGAUAUUGAAAAUUGCUCAGCUGCCCCGCAUGAGAUCUACUGAAAGAAUGCUUGAGAGGGUUAAGGACAUUUCCUAAUCCGUCAUGUAAAACAGCAACCUUUGAAUGCAAAUAGGAAUUAAUGUGUUUAUUACUGUUUCAAAAAGUUUACGUUUAAACACACUAAUAAGUGCAUUUUCUUCCCUUUUUGCACUAACAGGGUAGAUGUUUACCGUUGCUCCCAUACCUUGGCUCCAACUUCAGACAAGAGAAGGGGAUUACAGUAAAUGAAAACUGUCUUAACAUCAGUGAGGGGAAAAAAGGACAAAUUAGAAAUAAAGUACCCAAAAGUUUUGGCUGUUGAAGUAAAAGGAUGACACAUCACUGGAAAGAUAAACACAGCGCACAGUGGGAUAGAAAAAAAAAACACUGAGGAGACUAAUAGAAACCAGAGAAAGAUAGGGAGGAAGACAAAGAAAGUAUUAAACAGGCAGACAGAUAGAGGGGAGCAAACAUUAGAGAGCAAAACUAAAACACAGAUAGUGGUGGGAAGGCAAGAAGCAAAGGGGAGGAGGUGGUAAUAUGGAAAAUGUGCUCCUUACUACUGUCUUUGUGCAAUGGUUAAGUCAUAGAGCUUGUAUGAUUCACUAGAGGAGUGCUGACCCAUCUGGAACACAGAUGCACGUAUACUGCAUAUGUGUGUGCGUGUGGAAGAAAAAACCACCACAUGCAAAAAGUUUUAAGCUUUCUUGAGAAAAAGGAUUUAUCUCAGACAACCAUCUCACACCAGUCAUCUACAGUAAAUACACUGGAUCAGUUCACAGGAAACCAACCUGACUAAUAUUUAAAGGCCUGACAGGAAAUAUAAAGUAUUAUUAUAUGUAUUCUAAUAUUCACGAACCAGCAUUUGUGUUGUAAACUGAGAGAUGACAAAACCGCACACGGUUACUUGAUUUGUUCACUGGGCUUUCUCUGUUUGCACAGUAUUGAUAUGCCUGAAGUUCCUAAUAAUUUUCAAGAACAAAUUUCUUGCUAAUGGCUAUCGCUUUUGUCGGAUGAAAUUCAAACACUGCGUGUUACAGCAGCUGGGAAAAGAAUAAAAAUACUAUAAUCAAUAAUAAAAGCAACAAUGUAAAAGUAAAGGUACGAGAGGCCAUUACAAGAGACUUAUAAUGUGAGACAAUGGAGAAAUAAAUUGUAAACGCAACAGUGAUAAAAACAAAGAAAAUGAUGUCAAGUUAAGCUAGCUGAGCUAAAACAUUAGCUAAAAAUAACAGCGGUUGGCCUGCUCCAAAUUUCUGACUCAGGCGACUGUUGUGUCAUCUGAGUGUCUUAGCAAUUUACAUGAUAGCUACUUACAUAGUAUCGUGUUUAAAGGCUGUGACUACAGCUGGAUAUUUUAAGAGAGAUGGUCACACAUGCUGCCACUUAGCAUUACCCAUCCAUUUGCUAGCGCUUGUGUAAUUGCAAUACUACCCCAGACUAAUCCUGUUUACCUGCUCAGCAUGCUAUCUUUGACAAGAAAGGCACAUUUUAUCCAUGCUUUAUUACUGUAAUUUAAAGUAGCAUGUUCAUACACAGCAGGGAUGUCAGACAUAAGGUCUGGGGCCCAGAAUUGGCCUGGCAAAGACUCCGGUCCGGCCCACUGGAAGGCUUUGGAAAAUGUAUAGGAAGGCAUAGAUUUUGAGCUUUAAAACAUAUUUUCAUACAUUUUAAAGCUUUUCCUACUGAUCAAGACCUCCCCCAUUCCCAUCAAACUAGUUAAGUAAUAGAUAAACAAUUAAUAACAGAACAGUUCCUGUUUUUCAAUAUCUAAUAUAGAAAUUUCUAGUUUUUAUAGUGGGUUCACAGUGUCUAAAAGAAAGAUAAAAAAAAAAACCUUUUUCUGUGAAUUAAUCAAAACUAUGUUUUAUACACACACUCUGGUCAAUCUGGGUGAUCGGCUGCCAGAUCCAUUUCUGUAAACGUAUGCUUUUUUGAUAUAGAAAAUAUUGUUAAUAUUGCACUUCUUACUAAGACAUCUCACUAAUCAUUGCUGUUGCCACUAGUCGGUAUCAGACUUGCUAGUCAUCUAAUCUAAUUGUUAAAAUUUUAUUUGAUGCCCAAUGCUGGUAAACUAUUGUGUUCUAAAUGUUAUGCAGCCAUCUGCCACCAGAUGGCGCAUCAUUGAUGAGAAACGUUAUAAAUUUGUUAAUCUUGGUCUGAUCGUUAUGUUAACACUAUGAGAAUGAGUUAGCAAUACAAGUGGCGGAAAUUAGGUUUCUCUGAAAGGGUGAUGGACUCUCCUUUAGCGAUAGGGUGAGGAGUUCAGUCAUGUGGGAAAAGAGACUGCUAAGGCUCCUUGGUAAGAUGUUCUGGCCGGCCAGACUGGAGAGAUUACAUCUAUCGGCUGGCCUGGAAAAGACUUGAUGUUUCCCAGGAAAAGCUAGAGGAGGUGGUGAGAGGGAGGUUUGGGCUUCCUUGCUGCUGUCCCUGCCUGACCUGACUUCAGAUAAAUAGAAAAAAUAGCUGGAUGAUUUAUUGUUUUGUUAUUUUAGAUUUUAACUUUUAUUAAAGUGUUUGUCAUGAAAUUUCAAACAGCGUGGAUCAUUUAUAAUGAUGUGUUUAGUCACAUUUUUUUACACAGUCAAUCGACUAAAACAUUAGUCGUCAGGAACAUCCAUAGUUUAGAUACAUAAUAAAAAAUUGGGUGGUCCACAA
Oreochromis niloticus (Nile tilapia) is the source of this 3159-nucleotide long non-coding RNA. RefSeq lists it as uncharacterized. NCBI's taxonomy places the organism in Eukaryota, Metazoa, Chordata, Actinopteri, Cichliformes, Cichlidae. The transcript is spliced from 3 exons. The record is from RefSeq and is a predicted model, not a curated record.